RNAcentral lists this ribosomal RNA (500 nucleotides) under uncultured bacterium. RNAcentral describes it as "partial 16S ribosomal RNA". It matches the Rfam family "Bacterial small subunit ribosomal RNA", at positions 30 to 523 of the family's 1533-position model. The record is from RNAcentral.
AUUGAACGCUGGCGGAAUGCUUUACACAUGCAAGUCGAACGGCAGCACGGACUUCGGUCUGGUGGCGAGUGGCGAACGGGUGAGUAAUGUAUCGGAACGUGCCCAGUCGUGGGGGAUAACGUAGUGAAAAUUGCGCUAAUACCGCAUACGAUCUAUGGAUGAAAGCGGGGGAUCGCAAGACCUCGCGCGAUUGGAGCGGCCGAUAUCAGAUUAGGUAGUUGGUGGGGUAAAGGCCCACCAAGCCAACGAUCUGUAGCUGGUCUGAGAGGACGACCAGCCACACUGGAACUGAGACACGGUCCAGACUCCUACGGGAGGCAGCAGUGGGGAACUUUGGACAAUGGGCGAAAGCCUGAUCCAGCCAUUCCGCGUGCAGGAUGAAGGCCCUCGGGUUGUAAACUGCUUUUGUACAGAACGAAAAGGUUUCUACUAAUACUAGGAGCUCAUGACGGUACUGUAAGAAUAAGCACCGGCUAACUACGUGCCAGCCGCCGCAGUAA